AUUGAACGCUAGCGGGAUGCUUUACACAUGCAAGUCGAACGAGUGGCGGACGGGUGAGUAAUAUAUCGGAACGUGCCCAGUAGCGGGGGAUAACUACUCGAAAGAGUGGCUAAUACCGCAUACUAUUGGAGCGGCCGAUCACGGAGUAGCUAGUUGGUGGGGUAAAGGCUCACCAAGGCAACGAUCCGUAGCUGGUUUGAGAGGACGAGCAGCCACACUGGGACUGAGACACGGCCCAGAGUCCUACGUGAGGCAGGAGUUGGGAAUUGUGGACAAAGUGGGAGACGCUAAUCCAGACAUCGCGCGUGUAUAAGAAGGCCUUCGGGUUGUGAAGGACUAUUGGCGGAGUAGCGGGAAAUGCAGAGUAAGCACCGGCAAACUACGUGCCCGAAGCCGCGGUAAUAC
RNAcentral lists this ribosomal RNA (405 nucleotides) under uncultured bacterium. RNAcentral's name for it is "partial 16S ribosomal RNA". It matches the Rfam family "Bacterial small subunit ribosomal RNA", at positions 30 to 526 of the family's 1533-position model. The record is from RNAcentral.